GCAUCAUAAAUCAUCUGAUAUAGGGAGCUGGUGGAACCUUUGAUUUUUUUUUAUGACGUGAUUUGUCAAGUGCACCUGUGCACUGAAAUGUUUUCUUUUCUAUCCGUCAGGGACAUAUACUAUAAUGAUCCACAGCUGUUUGGGUCACAGAGGACCUUGGAUUCCAUCCUGGAUGACGUUUCAUUCAUGCUCAAGGUUCCUCGCAGGAGUUUGCAUGUGCUUGUAACAUCCAAAGGCUUCAUCUCAGGUGAUCUGUGUUAUUUGGAGGAAGAUGGCACAAAGGUGGACUGCAGUUCCAGCUCCACUGUGAGUCCAGAUCACCAGCCAACCUUUCUGUAAAUCUCACUUAAUGCUCACUGUAUGCCAGUGCAUGAUUUAUAUAGUCCCCUUCAACUCCUCUAUCCAUAAUAUUACUGUCUCCAGUGAAAAUGUUAGCUGAAUUAGGAGAAUAAUAUGCACAGUUCCAACAGUUCUAAUCAAAUGUGUCAUAGUUUGAUAUUAGAGGACAACAGGGGACAGACUUUUUCACUGGAGGAAGCGUUAUUAUGGUUUAUGAAUUCAUAUUUUAGUCAGUUUGAAAUUAAAAACAUCUUGAUGGAUGUGUUUGUUUUGGGGUUUUUUUACAAACACACACAGCUUUUCACUUGACAAGUUAUAAACUGAUGGACUGGAGUGGUGUGGAUUAUUGUGAUGUUUUUAUCAGCUGUUUGGACUCUCAUUCUGACGGCACCCAUUCACUGCAGAGGAUCCAGUGGUGAACAAGUGAUGUACUGCUACAUUUCUCCAAAUCUGUUCUGAUGAAGAAACAAACUCAGCUCCAUCUGAGAUGGCCUGAGUGCAAGGAGAUCAUGUGCAUCUGCAAGUACGGCUCACGGGUAAGUCCUGUUUCCUGCUAUUUCUGUGUAAUUUCCAGUGAGGCUUUUGCAUUGCGGCGACGUGUAAUUAUUCUUCUCUCUUUGUGGCAAGACAAAAAAGAGGAAGCACUCGUUCAUGAACUUAAAAUUUACCCUGUGGAAAAACUAAAGCGUUUCUACAUGUGUGUGCGACACAUCUGCAGAGUAUGA
Molecule: long non-coding RNA, 1064 nt
Organism: Cyprinus carpio carpio
Lineage: Eukaryota; Metazoa; Chordata; Actinopteri; Cypriniformes; Cyprinidae
Source: Ensembl